UACGAAGGGGGCUAGCGUUGCUCGGAAUCACUGGGCGUAAAGGGUGCGUAGGCGGGUCUUUAAGUCAGGGGUGAAAUCCUGGAGCUCAACUCCAGAACUGCCUUUGAUACUGAAGAUCUUGAGUUCGGGAGAGGUGAGUGGAACUGCGAGUGUAGAGGUGAAAUUCGUAGAUAUUCGCAAGAACACCAGUGGCGAAGGCGGCUCACUGGCCCGAUACUGACGCUUAGGCACGAAAGCGUGGGGAGCGAACAGG
This 253-nucleotide ribosomal RNA is filed under the name uncultured bacterium. RNAcentral describes it as "partial 16S ribosomal RNA". It matches the Rfam family "Bacterial small subunit ribosomal RNA", at positions 524 to 776 of the family's 1533-position model. The record is from RNAcentral.